GAGAAUGUCUUAUUUUCUUUUGUCUAGUUAGGAAGCUAACCAUAAUGAAUCAGAAGGACACCAAAUGGCUGUUCCCAUGCAGCUGGUUUGAUUGGGGAGUUACAUAAAUUGGACUCAUUCACCUCACAGGCUCUCUUGUCAAAAUUUCACUUCUAAGCAUUAAAGAAAUGCUGAAUUGACAAAAGAAAAAGCACAUGGCCCUGAGCUUUAAAUAUUGCUUGAAAAUGAAGGUGCUUGUAGGAACAAUUGUGUUAUGUUUCCUUUUCUAAACUAUCAUAAAAAUUAAAAGGGAAAAGUGGAAUGUUCUGUGAAUUAAAAGUCUUGAGAAACACUACUACAGAUAUAAAUAUUUAGGAGGUAUCAUGCACUGAGAGCUAUUGCUUGAAGUUAUGCAAACUUUUAACUUUGUAAAAACACAAAAUUCUAGAAAACAAUUAGAAUACUCUGCAAUAUGUUAUUGCAUAUUAACAGGGAUUCCUUGGCCAGAGAACUAAUUUUAGUGGCAUGGUUUCUUAUUCAAAGGAAAAUUUCAAAUUUUUCAAAAGAAACAUUUGUUCUGUCUCCUACAAGAAUAUUUUUAGUGAACUCAUAUUUGGAGGAGAAAAAAGAUGAUUAUGAGGACGUUUUGCUAUGUGUGUGCUGCACAUGAAUCUUAAUAGAAAAUUCAACUAAAUUCAAAACAUGUUCGUAGUACUCACUCACGUAAAAAUUUGAAUGUAGUGGUAUUCUAAACCCAAAGUUACUACCAUCAAGGAGCUCAUAAAUGAAUAGAGAAUAUAAGCAUGUACAGCCAACAAUACUACAAUGUAAAAAGAUUUUAUGGUAGAAGAAAACUUUGAGCAAGUCCUUGAAAAGUGAAGAAUACCUAUUAGUAGAAGGUGGAAAGGGAAAAACAUGCUCAGGUAAAGGGAUUGAUAGGGGCAAAGGUGCAUGGCUUCAGGCUUCGGUAGGGCAGAUUCUUGCAGUGGGUGCCUGGGAAAUAUGGAGCAGGAUGUAGGAAAAGGAGAAGAGUCUAGAAAGCAAGAGUAAAUUGAGUUUUUAAGAUUUUACCAUAUGAGAAAGAAGGAGUGAUAGACGUUUUCAUAAAUAUGUAUUUGAGAAAAAUAAUUGAGUUUGC
RNAcentral lists this long non-coding RNA (1117 nucleotides) under Homo sapiens (human). RNAcentral's name for it is "HSALNT0094131". The record is from RNAcentral. Lineage: Eukaryota; Metazoa; Chordata; Mammalia; Primates; Hominidae.